Non-coding RNA from Nelumbo nucifera (sacred lotus), 2298 nucleotides. NCBI's taxonomy places the organism in Eukaryota, Viridiplantae, Streptophyta, Magnoliopsida, Proteales, Nelumbonaceae. The record is from RefSeq and is a predicted model, not a curated record.
CCUCUCCCUUCCUUCUUCCCAAACCCAAAAUUCAUCUUCUCCUCUACCAUGCAAAUUCCAGAACUUUCUGCUCUCUCUUUCCCUCUCUCUAUUGCCAAAAACAGAAAGGCAGGAGACAGGAGAAUUCAUUGCAAAGACAAAAAAUGGCCAAUGGUCUCUACUCUCUAGAACUUUCAGUUAUGAACCCAUCCAUUUUCAACCUAAGCUUCAUCAUUUGUGACCAGCAAAGCUGUAAAGUCUAAACAACCUUUCCAAAAGAACAAGUUCUUGGGGAAGAAGGAUUUUCAGAUUCCAUUUUCCUUCUUUUGCAUUCACUUGUUUGUAAGACUGAAAUCCAUUUGCCGUACGCUCAACUUCUCCCUUUCCUAAUUCCCCUCCAUUUUUUUCCUCACUUGAUCUCUUUUGCAAAUUUUUCAUCUUUUCCUUUCUCUGUGUAGUCUAAUCUAACUUUUUCUUCCCCUUUUGUAAUUAAUUAUUCUGUUUUUAUUUCCACCAUUACUCAGUUUUUCUUCAGGUUCCACUCUGUAAGGAUCUUCUCUAAAUUUUCCCAGCUUCCAUAAAAACCUGAGUUUUUUUAUUUCUCUUUAUCCAGUUGGUUGAAGCAAUUACUCAUUUAGCUGCAUUUUCUUGUUACUCCUGCACACUCAUUAUAGAUCCAUUUCUCUGAUUCUAUCAUCAGAUUGAAUUCUUCAACCAAAUACUAAAAAAGAAGAAGAGCAAAACCAAAUUAAGGUACGAGUUAUUUUGAUAGUUCCAACUUCCAACCAUGAAUCCUAUAAGCCCAGUCAAGGAAGAGUUUCCAGAAGCCACUCCAUCCUACUCCAGUGAUCCGCCCAUGGCUCCUCCACAGCCAAUGGAGGGCCUCCAUGAGUUAGGCCCUCCACCUUUCCUGACGAAAACCUUCGACAUGGUGGACGAUCCAAGCACCGAGGGCAUAGUUUCUUGGAGCAGAGACGGCAACACUUUUAUUGUCUGGGAUUCUCAUACUUUCUCCAUGAGUCUCCUCCCUAGAUACUUCAAGCACAACAACUUCUCAAGCUUUGUUAGGCAGCUCAACACUUACGGAUUUAGGAAAGUUGAUCCAGAUAAAUGGGAAUUUGCAAAUGAAGGAUUUCUCAGAGGGCAGAAGCAUCUCCUGAAGAACAUCAAGAGGAGGAAAGCACCUCCACACCCUUCAUCUCUGCAGCAAUUUCCAGGAGGCCCUUGUGUCGAAGUAGGACGAUUUGGAUUAGAUGGAGAAAUCGAUCGAUUGAGGCGUGACAAGCAGGUUCUACUGUUAGAACUAGUGAAGCUGAGACAGCAACAGCAGCAUACUCGUGCCCAACUUCAAGCUAUGGAAAGCAGGAUACAAAGAACAGAGCUAAAGCAGCAACAGAUGAUGACAUUCUUAGCUAGAGCACUACAGAACCCAUCUUUUAUCCAGCAACUGAUCCAACAGAAAGAGAGGAGAAGGGAACUAGAAGAAGCGGUUACCAAGAAAAGGAGAAGGCGAAUUGAUCAAGGCCCCAGCGAUGUUGGAGUUGCUGAUCAUGAGGCAAUUCAAAGUGGUGAAGAAGAAAACCCCAUUAAAGCCGAACAAAAAGAAUAUGGGGAGCUGUAUGGGUACGAAGGGUCGGAGCUGGAGAUAAUUGCAUUAGAGAUGCGGGGAUUUAAUAAAGCUGGAGAGGAGCCUGAAGAAGAGGAGGAUGCAGAGCGAGAACAAGAAUUUGAGAAUGGAAGCAAAUCACUUGAUGAUGGAUUUUGGGAAGAAUUGUUUAGUGAAAGUCUUUUGAACAAACAAGGGCGCAUUAGGUCGAGAGAAGAGAGAAUGGAGAUGUGAAUGUCCUCGCCAAUCGACUCGGUUACUUGGGUUCCAGCCCAAAGUAGGGAAGCUGAAAUGUCUGAUCUGAUAACAAUUGGUUCUUGGAUUCGAUUUUAUUGCUUCCAUGAUCAAAGCCUUCUGGAGAAAACCACGACAGGGAUUGACUUCAAGCAGAUUGCAGGGAUAUUGGCUCAUUGCUUGGGAACCAGAAAGAUUUUUUCGCACCAUCCUGAUUUGCCACAAAGGUUGUCCCAUGUUUUUCUCCAUUCCUAUUUUUCAUGCAAUCUGAUUGCUUCGAUAUCCAUACUGUUAAUCAUGGUUUCAAAACCGGACCGGACCGGAAAAAACAAAACCGGUCAUGUGACUGGUUUCAGUUUUCCCCAAAACCGGAAGUUGCCAAAAACAUUGAUUUGAUCUGCAAAUCGCUGAUUUGGGUGAUUGAGCCAUUUGAACCGUUUAAUGAUUUUGACCAUUUUUUUUCUUUAUUUUUUGUUAGA